This 630-nucleotide ribosomal RNA is filed under the name Methanococcus aeolicus. Its description in RNAcentral is "bacterial SSU rRNA". It matches the Rfam family "Archaeal small subunit ribosomal RNA", at positions 33 to 669 of the family's 1478-position model. Lineage: Archaea; Methanobacteriati; Methanobacteriota; Methanococci; Methanococcales; Methanococcaceae. The record is from RNAcentral.
UUGGGAUUCGACUAAGCCAUGCGAGUCUAUGGACUUCGGUCCAUGGCGGACGGCUCAGUAACACGUGGCUAACCUACCCUCAGGUGGGGCAUAACCUCGGGAAACUGAGGAUAAUACCCCAUAGGAAAAGAGGUUUGGAAUAAUCCUUUUCUGAAAGGAUAUCCGCCUGAGGAUGGGGCUGCGUCCGAUUAGGUAGUUGGUGGGGUAAUGGCCCACCAAGCCUACGAUCGGUACGGGCCUUGAGAGAGGGAGCCCGGAGAUGGGGACUGAGACACGGCCCCAGGCCCUACGGGGCGCAGCAGGCGCGAAACCUCCACAAUGCACGAAAGUGCGAUGGGGGAAUCCCAAGUGCCUAUGCACAGCAUAGGCUUUUCCCAAGUCUAAACAACUUGGGGAAUAAGGGCUGGGCAAGUCCGGUGCCAGCAGCCGCGGUAACACCGGCGGCCCGAGUGGUAGCCACUCUUAUUGGGCCUAAAGCGUCCGUAGCCUGUUCAGUAAGUCUCUGUUUAAAUCCUACGGCUUAACCGUAGGGCUGGCAGAGAUACUGCUGGACUUGGGACCGGGAGAGGAAGAGGGUACUUCGGGGGUAGCGGUGAAAUGCGUUGAUCCCUGAGGGACCACCUAUGGCGA